GUCCGAUUAGCUAGUUGGCGGGGUAAAGGCCCACCAAGGCGACGAUCGGUAGCUGGUCUGAGAGGAUGAUCAGCCACACUGGAACUGAGACACGGUCCAGACUCCUACGGGAGGCAGCAGUGGGGAAUAUUGGACAAUGGGCGCAAGCCUGAUCCAGCCAUGCCGCGUGGGUGAAGAAGGCCUUCGGGUUGUAAAGCCCUUUUGUUGGGAAAGAAAAGCAAUCGGUUAAUACCCGGUUGUUCUGACGGUACCCAAAGAAUAAGCACCGGCUAACUUCGUGCCAGCAGCCGCGGUAAUACGAAGGGUGCAAGCGUUACUCGGAAUUACUGGGCGUAAAGCGUGCGUAGGUGGUGAUUUAAGUCCGUUGUGAAAGCCCUGGGCUCAACC
This 387-nucleotide ribosomal RNA is filed under the name uncultured bacterium. RNAcentral describes it as "bacterial SSU rRNA". It matches the Rfam family "Bacterial small subunit ribosomal RNA", at positions 235 to 614 of the family's 1533-position model. The record is from RNAcentral.